This 468-nucleotide ribosomal RNA is filed under the name uncultured bacterium. RNAcentral's name for it is "partial 16S ribosomal RNA". It matches the Rfam family "Bacterial small subunit ribosomal RNA", at positions 28 to 507 of the family's 1533-position model. The record is from RNAcentral.
GACGAACGCUGGCGGCGUGCUUAACACAUGCAAGUCGAACGGAAAGGCCCUGCUUUUGUGGGGUGCUCGAGUGGCGAACGGGUGAGUAACACGUGAGUAACCUGCCCUUCACUUUGGGAUAACUUCAGGAAACUGGGGCUAAUACCGGAUAGGAGCUCCUGCUGCAUGGUGGGGGUUGGAAAGUUUCGGCGGUUGGGGAUGGACUCGCGGCUUAUCAGCUUGUUGGUGGGGUAGUGGCUUACCAAGGCUUUGACGGGUCGCCGGCCUGAGAGGGUGACCGGGCACAAUGGGACUGAGAGACGGCCCAGACUGGUACGGGAGGCAGCAGGGGGGAAUAUGGCACAAUGGGCGGAAGCCUGAUGCAGAAACGCCGCGUGCGGGAAGACGGCCUUCUGGGUAUAAACCGCUUUAGCCUGUGACGAAGCGGGAGUGACGGUAAUGGGUAAAGAAGCACCGGCUAACUACGUG